Molecule: ribosomal RNA, 254 nt
Filed under: uncultured bacterium
Lineage: Bacteria
Description: partial 16S ribosomal RNA
Rfam family: Bacterial small subunit ribosomal RNA
Source: RNAcentral
UACGAAGGGGGCUAGCGUUGCUCGGAAUUACUGGGCGUAAAGCGCACGUAGGCGGCUUUCUAAGUCGGGGGUGAAAUCCUGGAGCUCAACUCCAGAACUGCCUUCGAUACUGGCGAUCUUGAGUCCGGAAGAGGUGAGUGGAACUCCUAGUGUAGAGGUGGAAUUCGUAGAUAUUAGGAAGAACACCAGUGGCGAAGGCGGCUCACUGGUCCGGUACUGACGCUGAGGUGCGAAAGCGUGGGGAGCAAACAGGG